Molecule: unclassified non-coding RNA, 2981 nt
Filed under: Hevea brasiliensis (rubber tree)
Lineage: Eukaryota; Viridiplantae; Streptophyta; Magnoliopsida; Malpighiales; Euphorbiaceae
Source: RNAcentral
AAAAAAAAAAAAAAAAAAAAAUUUCUCAUACGAUAGAGGAAGAGAAGUACUGAAAUAGAAAAGAAAAUUGAUUUUUCCCCACUAUGUUUCAGAGGUUUUUGUUAGCUAAUAAAGGAAAGGAUGAUAAUUAAUAAAGGAAAGGAAAAGAAAUGUGAGGCUAAGCAACUCGUGUUUGGAAGUUGUAAGGGAUAGUAAAGGAUUUUAAGCAUUGAGGUAGAAUAGUGAUAUUUGAAAAAUAUUUUUAAUGUUAGAGGGAGGGAUAACUUUUAUUUACUCAUUUUUAAAGGGAAAACAAAGUGGAAUUUGAAGGAAUAACUAGUAAGUCCAUAUCCUUUUUGAAAGGAAAACCGCGUAGAGUUUGAAGGGAUAACUGAUCACUCAUUAUCAUUUCUUUUCCAACCUCAUUAAAUUCCCAAACAAAGGAUGAGUAUCCCCCGAUAUUUUCCUUUUCUAUCCCUUCCUGAGACAUCCUAACAAAGUGAAUGAGUUUUUUUUUUUUUUGGUAGUUGGUGCAGGGUGUUGAAAUUUAGGUUACAGUUGAUAAUUGCACCUGUUUGAGUAUGGUUUUAUUUGGGAUUGAGUGGUUAACUUGAAGUGUAUGAGAUGGGAGACUGAUUAUUGCAUUUUCUUAGUGAAACAACUGUGAGUAAUCACUAAUCAGGCUUUUUUUUUGUGUUUUUUCAUAUAAUCACUAACAUGAAUUGUUCAAGGUUUCAUUCUACUUUUUUGCUCUCAUUCUUAUCUGAGAGGAGUAGUAUAUAUUGGGGUCAUUCUUUAAUCGGAGUUCAUUACAUUGCUUUCUUUAUUGGAAGUGAUAUGUAUUUUAAUUAAUUAUUAACUUGGUCUUUCCUCUCAGAUUUCAACUCAGAAAUGCAUGAAGAACAUGGAAAACGUUGGUAACAAUAGCUGUUAUUUCCAAUGUACUCACUGAUCAAUUCAGGCUUAAAACCAUUAAUGAAUUCUGGUUCUGUAACCCACUGGAAAAUCUGGGUUGUCACCUAAACAAGAAAAAAUCCAAGUCACAUGGAUGAAUCACGAGGUCGACAGCUACCUUCUUAUCUUCCAGAAUCUGCCUUUCCAAAUAAUACUGGAAGACUUAAUUUAGAUGGGUAUGCAAAUGGUGGUUCUGGCUUGCCAGGCCUGAAGAAGAGAGGCCAUGGACAUGGAAGCAGAUCUUGGAUAAAGAUUGAUCAGAAUGGUGGCUCCAAGAUUUUGGAGCUUGAUAAGGCUACUAUAAUGAGACAUUGUUCCUUACCUGCACGGGAUCUACGACUAUUGGAUCCACUUUUCAUUUACCCUUCUACUAUUUUAGGACGGGAGAAAGCUAUUGUGGUCAGUCUUGAACAAAUUAGAUGUAUAAUCACAGCUGAUGAGGUUAUCCUAAUGAAUUCCUUAGAUGGAUGUGUUGUCCAAUAUGAGUCAGAAUUCUGCAAACGUCUCCAGACAAACAAAGAUCAAGCUGAGGACUUGCCAUUCGAAUUUAGAGCUCUAGAAUUGGCUUUGGAAUUAGCUUGCAUGUCUCUUGAUGCUCAGGUAAAAGAACUGGAGAUGGAGAUUUAUCCAGUGUUGGAUGAACUAGCAUCAUCUAUUAAUACUCUUAAUCUGGAAUGUGUCCGCAGACUAAAAGGCCACCUUCUCACAUUGACUCAACGAGUCCAGAAGGUGCAUGAUGAGAUAGAACAUCUCAUGGAUGAUGAUGGUGACAUGGCUGAGAUGUAUCUGACGGAGAAAAAAGAGAGGGCAGAAGCUUGUGCACUUGGCGACUUGUAUUUUCAAAAUAAUAUCUCGGGUGAGACCAGAGUGGUUUCAAAAUCUGCACCUGUUUCACCUGUGAGGUCAAUUAGUGGGGUCCAGCAAUUGCAGAGGACGUUUAGCAGUAUUGUCACUUCAAGCAAACAUGGAAGCUUAACUAGUUCUUCCACUAAUGAAGAAAAUGUUGACAAACUUGAAAUGUUGCUUGAAGCAUACUUUGUUGUUAUUGACAACACUCUCAGCAAGUUGUUCUCGGUGAGAUGUUUUGCUGCAUAAUAUGUGAAUGAAUCUAUCUAAAUUUGUUAUUGAUAACACUCUCAGCAAGGAUUGCUGCAAUCGGGUAUUAUUUUCAAGUUAUAUUAAUGCUUGCGACAUGUCUAAAAUUAUCAUACUCAAGCAAUCAGCUGAGUGGAAAAAUGUUGCAAGUUUUUCAAACUCACAAAUUUUUGUUAGGAUAUCCUCUUGGUCUAGGCAAAGUAAAGUGUACAAUGAUCCUAGGUUGCAUAGAAUUAUGCUAAUCAUAUAAUCUUCAUGUAAAGAGGUGGGGUGAGAGUGGGGUGCGUGUUCUGGAAUGGGUUUUAUCUUAUGUGUGAAAUAGAAGGACUCUUAAUGCAUGCACAUUGGUGAUACCUUACAUUAAUUUUUCAAUUGACAAUGCAGCUGAAAGAAUAUAUCGAUGAUACUGAAGAUUUGAUCAACAUUAAAUUGGUAAAGUGGUUAAUGGCUUGUACAUUUUAUGAUGCUUCCUUUUUGUCUUUUUUUUCCUCCUCCUUUUAAUCGGGCAAAACAAAUUUGCCUUUUAUUUUGUAUGAACAGGGAAAUGUGCAAAACCAUCUGAUUCAAUUUGAGUUGCUUCUAACUGCAGCAACCUUUGUAGCUACAUUAUUUGCUGUUGUGGCAGGAGUAUUUGGGAUGAACUUCACGGCCUCAAUUUUUGAUUACCCUUCUGCAUUUAAUUGGGUUCUUAUUAUAACUGGUAUUGCAUGUGGGUUGCUGUAUUUCUCGUUCCUGUUAUAUUUUAGGCACAAGAAGGUGUUUCCAUUGUAGACUGCAUUCUUGGUUUUGUGGGGUGUUUUGAAAAUUUGAACUGUACUUAAUUCUUUUAUUAUACUUUGAUCGAGUUAAACAGAUUGGAUUAGUCCACCAAUGUUUUGUAUAAAGUUAAUUUUUUGUUUAAAGAUGACACAACAAAGUCGACCAAUGAUAAUAAAUUUCAAUCUUGAUGUACA